AGGAUUAAUUUUAUGGCUAGUAUAUAAAGAGACUAUUAUAGAAUAUAAAAGGCUGUAUAUUAAACCAUUAGUACCGUAAAAAUGAUGGAGUAAUUUCCAUUUAUUAGGGAAAAUGGUAGAAGAAUUUCUAUAAAAAAAACGAAGUGAAUUGAAGUAUCUUAUUAGCUUCAGGAAAAUAAAUCAAACGAGAUUCUAUUAGUAGUGUGAAUGAAAAUAGAUAUAGGCUUAAAGUAAAAUGGAUUAAUCUGUUUGAAUAUAGGGGAACCUUCCUCUAAGCCUUAAUAUAAUAUACAAGAAAUAGCGAAUAGUACUGUGAAGGAAGUAUGUAAAAUAGUAGUCUUAUAAGCAGCUCAAGGUAAGUUUAAUAAACAUAUGAGAGCGUACCUUUUGUAUAAUGGGUCAGCAAGUUCUAGUUAGAUGCAAGCAAGUAGUGAUUAGUGGGGAUAUAUUAAAUUAGAAUAGAUAUCAACAAGAUAGACAAUCUAAUAAUAUAAAUACAAAAAAAAAUCAAUUUGCCUAGAUAAUCCAAUUAUUAAGUAAUGAAUUAGUAUCUAAUUAGAGACCCGAAGAGUAGUGAUCUUACCAUGGUCAGGCUUAUAAAAGGCCGAAUGGGUAAACUAAAGAAAUGAGCCUCUUUAUUAGCUCAAGUAGAAGUGAACCUUCUGCUAAAGAUCGUCAAAUUGACGGGAAACCCCUAAAGCAAUCUUAACUAACUUAGCAUGGUAACAUAGCUAAGGGCGCAGGUAAUGACUCGCGAGAUAGUAAAAUCAAGAUUGAUUACGAAAGUGAAUGGGCAAUCCGCAGCCAAGCAGCAUAAUAGUUUUAUUAUGGUGUGCAGUUCAUCGACUAGAUGGUGAUCGGCGAAAGCUUAAGAUAUAGUCAAACCUCUGUGGAAACACAGCAGGAUAAUAUAAUUUUAUGAAGUUUAUAGUAUAGAUUUACAACAAUUUUCUUGGACGUUAUUAUUUUAUUACCUUCAAAUUAGUUAAUUUGAAUAAUAGUCGAGUAAAUUAUAACAAGUAUAUACCCGUAGCAGCUACAAGCAAGGUACACCGUAGAAAGGUACUCGGGCCACUGAAAGGCUAGCACCCUAACUCAGUUAUAGAAUAGAAAGGAUAACCUCUAAAGUAAUAUAUGUCAACAUUGGUAAAAAACAAUUUAAAUCUAAAGCUACUAUAACAUUCUUUCUACAAACAAUAAAUACUUUUUCAAGAUCGUUUUCUUCAGGAAAUAUUGGUAAUUUCAAGCCAGUUGUUAUUUAUGAUAACGCUGAUGUGGACAAAAUGCGUAUCCUAACAGAAAACCGUAAGAAAGUUGCUGUAUAUCGUUGAGUAAAUAAGGUAAAUGGAAAUACUUACAUCGGUAGUUCUAUUAAUUUACAUGUUAGAAUGUAUACAUAUUAUAGUUUACGUUCUCUAGCAAAAAGUAAUAGACCUAUUGAUAGAGCUCUUUUAAAACACGGGUUUUCCAAAAUUCGGAGAAUUUUUGAAAUCUUGGAAUGUUGUUCCUAUGAAGAUGUACUUAAAAGAGAGCAGUAUUACUUAGAUUUUUAUAAACCUCAUUACAAUAUAGCUACAAUCGCAGGGUCUACAUUAGGAUAUAAACAUUCUCAAGAAUCAUUAGAAAAAAUGAGAAACAUUAUUCUAAGUGAUGAAGUAAGAGAAAGAAAAAUACUUUCUACUGUUAAUGCUUCAAUAGCUAAUAGAUUGCCUAUUAGUGUUAAAAACAUCAUAACUAAUGAUGUGACAAAUUAUGCUAGCAUGACUGAGGCUGGUAAAGCACUAGGUGUGACAAGAUCUACAGUAAGUCAAGCAUUGUCGCAAAAUAGACUAAUUAAAAAAACGUAUUCUAUCUGUAAAACUAAAUAAAAACUUCAAAAAAAAAUUAUGUUAUCUGUUAAAUGGAUAGUAGUAAAAUACUAUUUAGGGAGAAAAGUCUCAGCUCGGCCUAAGUUGGAAUAAAUAAAAUUCAACGGCCAAAGAGAUAAUUUGUAUCGUUGUAAAGAUAUCCAAAGAACUGUGGUAAGUUAGUGAAAGACAAUCCUGACUACUAUAGCUGGUUUUCCGCGAAACAUAUGUAAGUAUGUAGUUUAAAUAACAUCAUAGCAGGUACAGAACUGUGAUCUCGGACAAUUUGUGCAUUAAUAUCCUAUUAGGGUAUAUAAUGCCUUGUGCAUAUGGGGGGGUCGUGAAGACUCUAUUCGCGAGUAUUUGCUCUCGGAAGGGCAAUGAUGAGUGUUGAACUAUCAGACAUUUAACGAUAAGGUUGUAUGUCAAAAGGGAAACAGCCCAGAACAAGUGUUUAAGGUUCCAAAGUUUUUGUUAAGUGAAAGUAAGGAAGUAUUUAAACUAUACAACCAGGAAAUAGGCUUAGAAGCGGCCAUUUUUUAAAGACCUCGUAACAGAGCACUGGUUCAAACGGUUAAUUAGUUAACCUUAUAAGUUAAAAGCGCCGAAGAUAUAACGGAUCUAAAACAAAACACCGACACCUUGUCCAUAAUAAUAAUAUUAGGUUAAAUCCGGCUCCGCAGGUUUAACCUGCGGAGCCGGUUAAAUCCUAUUUUAAUAUACUUAAAGGUUAUUUAAGUAUUAUUUAUGGGGUAGCGGAACAUUGGGUAAAUAGGAUUAAAAAUAGGUAAUAAACCCCUUAGAAUCUUUUUUAAUGUAUAAAAACUGGAUGAAUAGAGGGGAAGGAUACACCUAUUUUCAUUAUUACAUCUGUAAUUUGCUCGCUAAAUUGCGGGUUUCCAUAAAUAUCCCAAGUGAGAAUGCUGACACGAGUAACGAAAAAGAGGAUGCCCCUAAAAGGCCCUCUCGCCUUAAGCUUAUGGGAAAGUUAAUCGGUCUCUAAAUUAAACCUAAAGGAUAAAAUGAUGAGGAGAUUAUAUGUGACAACAUAAAGAAAUGGAGUAAAAUGUUCUGGAAAAGCAUAUAGUCUAAGGAUGUAGAUAAAAAUACUAUCCUUUGGGAUGGCCCCUACAAAGGCCAGACCUAAAGGUUAGUCCCCUUCGGGGACUAGUAAAUAAACUAGAGAGAUAUUACUAGGCAUCCUUAAACAUAUAAAACCGUACCUAAAAACUACCACAAGUAAGCUAGUAGAGAAUACGAAGGCGUUUGAGCUAACAAUCAUUAAGGAACUCGGCAAAUUGACACCGUAACUGAGGGAGAAGGUGUGCCAUUCCUACUGAUUAAUAUCAGUUUAGGAAGAGGAGACAUAAAAUGGUGUUGCACGACUGUUUAAUUAAAACACAGCACUUUGCGUAAGAUGUAAAUCAAUGUAUAGAGUGCGCUAUCUGCCCAAUGAUGGCUGGUUAACGGAUUUACUUAGACGACUAAAAUAGGCUAGGUUUUGAAGGAACCCCCAUUUAAUGGCGGCCUUACCUAUGAGGGUCCUAAGGUAGCGAAAUACCUUGGCAUUUAAAUGAUGUCGCGCAUGAAUGAUCUCACGAUGCAACAGCUGUCUCAAUGAUUGGCUCAGUGAAACUGGAAUGGCAGUGAAGAUACUGCCUAUCUCUAGAUAGACGAGAAGACCCCAUGCAGCUUUACUGUUACUAGUUAUAGGGUAUAAUUUAACAGGUUUUAGUGAAUAAGGUAGUUGAACGACAAAAUUGAAACACCUUUACUCUGGUUGUUAUAUCAGUAGAAUAGGUUACAUUAUUGUAACUGACGUCUGAAUGUAAUCCAUAAAAGGAGGGAGAUUAUAUCAAGCUCAGGAGACAAUGGCUAGCAGAUGGUUUAUGCGGGGCACAGAUCCCAUAAAGAGUACCUGGGAGUAUCCAAAUUUAUUUUUGUAAUAUGCUAUACGCAAAUUAUAUAGGGCUUUUAUUAAAUAAUUGCCUUGUAUAUUUUAAUUUUUUAAUUACUAUAUUUAGUUUGUUAUUUUUUAUAUUUACUUUUAUAAAGUAUCUAUAACUAAUUCAGUUAUAUUUCUAUUUAAGUUAGAACUAAAACAAUUUAAUAUAAGUAAGAUUUUACCUAUGUGGAAAAUAGGUGUAUAUAUAGUAUUAAUAAUGAAUAUCUAAUUGUAAAAAAGAUAUAAUUAUAACACUAUUAGUUAUUUUUUUUAGAAUACCUCUAUAAGAAAUGAUGUUGAUAUAUACUUCCAAAGUUUAAUGGCUUAAUCUUGCUUUACUGUUUGACAUACACGUCUAUCAGUUGCGUAAGCAGGGCAUAAAGACCGCAAGACGCAGUAAGGAAAGGUCUUGUAUUAUUGAAAAAGCUACGCUGGGGAUAACAGGCUAAUUGCGCCAGAGAGUACAAAUUGAGUGCGCAGUUUGGCACCUCGAUGUCGGCUUAGCUCAUCCACAUGAAUGCAGGAAUCAUGAAGGGUACGACUGUUCGUCGAUUAAAGAGCUACACGAGCUGGGUUAAAUACGUCGUGAGACAGUAUGGUUUCUAUCUUCUAGAGGAAAUUGGAGUAAAAUAAGGAUAGCCCCUUCGUACGAAAGGAGUUGGGUAUGGUAACCUAUGGUUUACCUGUUGUUUAUGCGCUUAAUAUUAACCUGAUAAAUAACGGCAAGAAUAGGUUCUCCUUAAUAAGUAGAAAAUGGGUAUCUAAAGAAGAAGGAGAGUAAUAUAGAUAGAUUCAUGUGAAUUUAUUACCUAUUUGAGCUAUAGAUGGUAAUACUUUUAUACUCAAGUAUUU
This 4644-nucleotide ribosomal RNA is filed under the name Bipolaris oryzae. Its description in RNAcentral is "large subunit ribosomal RNA". The stretch from base 1921 to 4644 matches the Rfam family "Bacterial large subunit ribosomal RNA". The record is from RNAcentral. Lineage: Eukaryota; Fungi; Ascomycota; Dothideomycetes; Pleosporales; Pleosporaceae.